Molecule: non-coding RNA, 18 nt
Filed under: Arabidopsis thaliana (thale cress)
Lineage: Eukaryota; Viridiplantae; Streptophyta; Magnoliopsida; Brassicales; Brassicaceae
Also listed under: 1 other name
Source: RNAcentral
GUUGAGCUUGACUCUAGU